This 253-nucleotide ribosomal RNA is filed under the name uncultured bacterium. Its description in RNAcentral is "partial 16S ribosomal RNA". It matches the Rfam family "Bacterial small subunit ribosomal RNA", at positions 524 to 776 of the family's 1533-position model. The record is from RNAcentral.
UACGUAGGGUGCAGGCGUUACUCGGAAUUACUGGGCGUAAAGGGCGCGUAGGCGGUGUGUCAAGUCAGGCGUGAAAGCCCCGGGCUCAACCUGGGAACCGCGCUUGAGACUGGCACGCUCGAGUUCGGGAGAGGAUGGUGGAAUUCCCAGUGUAGAGGUGAAAUUCGUAGAUAUUGGGAAGAACACCGAUGGCGAAGGCAGCCAUCUGGACCGACACUGACGCUGAGGCGCGAAAGCGUGGGGAGCAAACAGG